RNAcentral lists this ribosomal RNA (2459 nucleotides) under Citrobacter freundii. Its description in RNAcentral is "bacterial LSU rRNA". It matches the Rfam family "Bacterial large subunit ribosomal RNA", at positions 1 to 2473 of the family's 2925-position model. The record is from RNAcentral. Lineage: Bacteria; Pseudomonadati; Pseudomonadota; Gammaproteobacteria; Enterobacterales; Enterobacteriaceae.
GGGUUGUGAGGUUAAGCGACUAAGCGUACACGGUGGAUGCCCUGGCAGUCAGAGGCGAUGAAGGACGUGCUAAUCUGCGAUAAGCGUCGGUAAGGUGAUAUGAACCGUUAUAACCGGCGAUUUCCGAAUGGGGAAACCCAGUGUGAUUCGUCACACUAUCAUUACGUGAAUACAUAGCGUAAUGAAGCGAACCGGGGGAACUGAAACAUCUAAGUACCCCGAGGAAAAGAAAUCAACCGAGAUUCCCCCAGUAGCGGCGAGCGAACGGGGAGCAGCCCAGAGUCUGAAUCAGCUUGUGUGUUAGUGGAACGGUCUGGAAAGUCCGACGGUACAGGGUGAUAGUCCCGUACACCAAAAUGCACAGGUUGUGAACUCGAAGAGUAGGGCGGGACACGUGGUAUCCUGUCUGAAUAUGGGGGGACCAUCCUCCAAGGCUAAAUACUCCUGACUGACCGAUAGUGAACCAGUACCGUGAGGGAAAGGCGAAAAGAACCCCGGCGAGGGGAGUGAAAAAGAACCUGAAACCGUGUACGUACAAGCAGUGGGAGCCUCUUUAUGGGGUGACUGCGUACCUUUUGUAUAAUGGGUCAGCGACUUAUAUUCUGUAGCAAGGUUAACCGUAUAGGGGAGCCGAAGGGAAACCGAGUCUUAACUGGGCGUUAAGUUGCAGGGUAUAGACCCGAAACCCGGUGAUCUAGCCAUGGGCAGGUUGAAGGUUGGGUAACACUAACUGGAGGACCGAACCGACUAAUGUUGAAAAAUUAGCGGAUGACUUGUGGCUGGGGGUGAAAGGCCAAUCAAACCGGGAGAUAGCUGGUUCUCCCCGAAAGCUAUUUAGGUAGCGCCUCGUGAAUUCAUCUUCGGGGGUAGAGCACUGUUUCGGCUAGGGGGUCAUCCCGACUUACCAACCCGAUGCAAACUGCGAAUACCGAAGAAUGUUAUCACGGGAGACACACGGCGGGUGCUAACGUCCGUCGUGAAGAGGGAAACAACCCAGACCGCCAGCUAAGGUCCCAAAGUCAUGGUUAAGUGGGAAACGAUGUGGGAAGGCACAGACAGCCAGGAUGUUGGCUUAGAAGCAGCCAUCAUUUAAAGAAAGCGUAAUAGCUCACUGGUCGAGUCGGCCUGCGCGGAAGAUGUAACGGGGCUAAACCAUGCACCGAAGCUGCGGCAGCGACACUAUGUGUUGUUGGGUAGGGGAGCGUUCUGUAAGCCGUUGAAGGUGUAUCGUGAGGUAUGCUGGAGGUAUCAGAAGUGCGAAUGCUGACAUAAGUAACGAUAAUGCGGGUGAAAAACCCGCACGCCGGAAGACCAAGGGUUCCUGUCCAACGUUAAUCGGGGCAGGGUGAGUCGACCCCUAAGGCGAGGCCGAAAGGCGUAGUCGAUGGGAAACAGGUUAAUAUUCCUGUACUUGGUGUUACUGCGAAGGGGGGACGGAGAAGGCUAUGUUAGCCGGGCGACGGUUGUCCCGGUUUAAGCAUGUAGGCGGAGGUUCCAGGUAAAUCCGGUACCUUUUUAACGCUGAGGUGUGAUGACGAGGCACUACGGUGCUGAAGUAACAAAUGCCCUGCUUCCAGGAAAAGCCUCUAAGCAUCAGGUAACACGAAAUCGUACCCCAAACCGACACAGGUGGUCAGGUAGAGAAUACCAAGGCGCUUGAGAGAACUCGGGUGAAGGAACUAGGCAAAAUGGUGCCGUAACUUCGGGAGAAGGCACGCUGAUAUGUAGGUGAAGUGAUUUACUCAUGGAGCUGAAAUCAGUCGAAGAUACCAGCUGGCUGCAACUGUUUAUUAAAAACACAGCACUGUGCAAACACGAAAGUGGACGUAUACGGUGUGACGCCUGCCCGGUGCCGGAAGGUUAAUUGAUGGGGUUAUCCGUAAGGAGAAGCUCUUGAUCGAAGCCCCGGUAAACGGCGGCCGUAACUAUAACGGUCCUAAGGUAGCGAAAUUCCUUGUCGGGUAAGUUCCGACCUGCACGAAUGGCGUAAUGAUGGCCAGGCUGUCUCCACCCGAGACUCAGUGAAAUUGAACUCGCUGUGAAGAUGCAGUGUACCCGCGGCAAGACGGAAAGACCCCGUGAACCUUUACUAUAGCUUGACACUGAACACUGGUCCUUGAUGUGUAGGAUAGGUGGGAGGCUUUGAAGUGUGGACGCCAGUCUGCAUGGAGCCAUCCUUGAAAUACCACCCUUUAAUGGCUGGUGUUCUAACGUGGACCCGUAAUCCGGGUUGCGGACAGUGUCUGGUGGGUAGUUUGACUGGGGCGGUCUCCUCCUAAAGAGUAACGGAGGAGCACGAAGGUUAGCUAAUCCUGGUCGGACAUCAGGAGGUUAGUGCAAAGGCAUAAGCUAGCUUGACUGCGAGAGUGACGGCUCGAGCAGGUGCGAAAGCAGGUCUUAGUGAUCCGGUGGUUCUGAAUGGAAGGGCCAUCGCUCAACGGAUAAAAGGUACUCCGGGG